AGCUUUGCACAGUGGCAGUAUCAUAGCCAAUGAGGUUCAUCUGAAGUGUGAUUAUUGCUAAUUGAAAGCUCUUCACAGAUUGAAGAGGCUUCUGUCUACCCCCAUUUGCUAAGAACUUUUAUCAGG
Ursus americanus (American black bear) is the source of this 126-nucleotide small nuclear RNA. Its record names the gene U4. It matches the Rfam family "U4 spliceosomal RNA". From Rfam's summary of the family: U4 small nuclear RNA (U4 snRNA) is a component of the major U2-dependent spliceosome. The record is from Ensembl. NCBI's taxonomy places the organism in Eukaryota, Metazoa, Chordata, Mammalia, Carnivora, Ursidae.